GGCCGUGUGGCCUAAUGGAUAAGGCGUCUGACUUCUAAUCAAGAGAUUGAAGGUUCGACUCCUGCUUGGGUCA
This 73-nucleotide transfer RNA is filed under the name Toxocara canis (dog roundworm). It matches the Rfam family "tRNA". Rfam says of the family: Transfer RNA (tRNA) molecules are approximately 80 nucleotides in length. Their secondary structure includes four short double-helical elements and three loops (D, anti-codon, and T loops). The record is from Rfam by way of RNAcentral. Lineage: Eukaryota; Metazoa; Nematoda; Chromadorea; Rhabditida; Toxocaridae.